AAGGAUGAGAAGCUUCGACUAAGGUUCGACUCGAGCGAAGCGAGAGAACGUUGCCGCAGGCAAUGGCCCGAAGGCGAGGCGCUUUAGCGCCGAGUAAUCCUUCCCCCACCACUG
Molecule: small RNA, 114 nt
Filed under: Klebsiella pneumoniae
Lineage: Bacteria; Pseudomonadati; Pseudomonadota; Gammaproteobacteria; Enterobacterales; Enterobacteriaceae
Description: partial RtT sRNA
Rfam family: RtT RNA
About the family: This family represents a bacterial cis-regulatory element known as RtT RNA.
Source: RNAcentral